AUUGAACGCUGGCGGCAGGCCUAACACAUGCAAGUCGAACGGUAGCACAGAGAGCUUGCUCUCGGGUGACGAGUGGCGGACGGGUGAGUAAUGUCUGGGAAACUGCCCGAUGGAGGGGGAUAACUACUGGAAACGGUAGCUAAUACCGCAUAACGUCGCAAGACCAAAGUGGGGGACCUUCGGGCCUCACACCAUCGGAUGUGCCCAGAUGGGAUUAGCUAGUAGGUGGGGUAAUGGCUCACCUAGGCGACGAUCCCUAGCUGGUCUGAGAGGAUGACCAGCCACACGGGAACUGAGACACGGUCCAGACUCCUACGGGAGGCAGCAGUGGGGAAUAUUGCACAAUGGGCGCAAGCCUGAUGCAGCCAUGCCGCGUGUAUGAAGAAGGCCUUCGGGUUGUAAAGUACUUUCAGCGGGGAGGAAGGCGGUGAAGUUAAUAGCUUCACCGAUUGACGUUACCCGCAGAGGAAGCACCGGCUAACUCCGUGCCAGCCGCCGCCGUAA
RNAcentral lists this ribosomal RNA (504 nucleotides) under uncultured bacterium. RNAcentral describes it as "partial 16S ribosomal RNA". It matches the Rfam family "Bacterial small subunit ribosomal RNA", at positions 29 to 523 of the family's 1533-position model. The record is from RNAcentral.